CACUCAAUCUGACAUACAUAGACACAUACAUGUAAUAUUUUUUAUAUUUGCGGCCACCCUCCUGUUUGCUUACCUUUUGUGUCCAGGAGGGUGGCUUGCUUGAGGUCCUGGUGGUGCUGGCUGAGACUGAUGAUAGUGAGCAUGAGGGUCUGCUGCAGCUCACUCCAGCCUCUCCUCUGCCUCCAUGCUGCCUGUGGUGCCUGCACGGCGCUUUUUAUGUCUAGGAGCAGGGCCGCCAUCAGGGGGUGACAACCAUGAUGGUUGUCACAGGCCCGGACUGCUCUGGCAAUC
This is a non-coding RNA of Pelobates cultripes (western spadefoot toad), 291 nucleotides long. The record is from the annotation of a GenBank genome assembly. NCBI's taxonomy places the organism in Eukaryota, Metazoa, Chordata, Amphibia, Anura, Pelobatidae.